Non-coding RNA from Leptonychotes weddellii (Weddell seal), 509 nucleotides. The record is from RefSeq and is a predicted model, not a curated record. NCBI's taxonomy places the organism in Eukaryota, Metazoa, Chordata, Mammalia, Carnivora, Phocidae.
GACAGUGCUCAAGCCCCUGCGUCCCCGGUUCUCCCCAGGGGGUAACUGGACGCUGAUGGCCACCAGGUGCCUAGCCUGUGGUGUUGAGUGAGUGAGCCAGUCCCCCUCCUGCCCACUGGGACCAAACCCCGGGCCCACCUCCUCUCUGUCCCUGCAGACCCCGCAGGAUAGAGCCCGUGUGCUCAGGGCUGCAGGCCCAGAUCCUCCGCUGCUACCGUGACAACCUACAAGAAGUGCUCCUGUGCUCGGACCUGGUCAAGGCUUACCAGCACUGUGUGAGUGCUGCCCACAAGGGGUGAGGAGUGGCCCUCAAUCCUGGCCCUGGCGGUGACUUGGAGCCCUGAAGAAGGAACCGGUUAUGGGACCACAGUCCACAGCCCCCUAGGCCACAGCCAUUUUCUCCUGGGUGCCUAUGGAUGCCUCUGUGCUUGGGGCUGCCAUGUGUUUGAGAAAUAGAGUAUGUGCUACUGUCUGAAAACAAAUAAAGCAAAUGUCUUUGUUUUCAGUCA